GAGAGAGAGAGAGAGAGAGAGAGCAUCCAAAUAACAGUGAGGGACACAUGCAGCUUCCGGUUACACUGUUCUCUUGGCCGCAAUGGACGUGCUGCCUCGCGAUUUCAAGUGAGAUGUCUGGAGUGAAUGGUUUCCCCAGGUACCCAUUUAUCGACUAGCCUAAAAAAGGAAGAUGGACAGCUGGGGGCGCUGCAUGCUGACUCCCCAAGAUGGGAUUUGAACCCAAGUAUACCAAUUCAUAGCUAGGCAUGCUAACCACUUCACAACAGAGAUGUUUCUGGAGAUGGCGCUAGUGACAGUUGCUGAAUUCCCAACACUGAUCAAAACAGUUGAUAUGUCUAGUAAAGUGUGCAAUGCAAGACAAAGCUGCGGCUGUUCUGUCCUGUGUGUUCCUGCAGGCAGCGGGGCUGGGCCAGGGCGGCAGCACGGACAAGGACACGGACACAGGCACUGGGUGUCAGCUGGCACCUUCCUGCCCUGCACACAGCCAACAGUAAGGUGAUGGGCGGCACACUACACCGGUUUCUUUGGUGGUGGAAACGAAUAGGACAAAUUGAAUUUUAGAGCUUUAAACAUGCAGUUUCAUUCAACAAAACUUUCUUUCAAUCCAUCCACAGCUACAGUGACACAACGAAACGCCCACCUCCCGCUCCCCAGCUGGCCAGGCGUCGUCUGCUGCGGCGGCUCGGAGGUAUGCGUCAGCCCCUGCCACGGACCUACAAUACUUGAUGGGAAGAACGGCAUUUCCAAUUUACCUUCAACGAAUUGCUCAUAUGCAUCUUAGUAGCUAUGUCUACUUCAUUUAAUGACAUGGAGAAUGUAAGGUAUCGCCUCCAUAUAGGAAAUACAACUUUCCCGCAGAGACGCAAAAGGGGGGAGGGCUUGGAUUGAUCUACCCUCAAAAUCCUUUCAGUACCCUCUUAACUCAUCCAUUAAUUGAGAAACAAAUUAUCAUUCUCUUCUUUUACACACUCAUCUCCCCAAUGCUUCAAGGAAGACUCCGGCCGCCCUAGGCCUUCUCAAUGAAUAAAUAAAUAAAUAAAAUUAUGAAACAGCG
This is a long non-coding RNA of Eriocheir sinensis (Chinese mitten crab), 1057 nucleotides long. RefSeq lists it as uncharacterized. The transcript has 4 exons. The record is from RefSeq and is a predicted model, not a curated record. Lineage: Eukaryota; Metazoa; Arthropoda; Malacostraca; Decapoda; Varunidae.